This 573-nucleotide long non-coding RNA is filed under the name Salmo salar (Atlantic salmon). RNAcentral's name for it is "lncRNA (ENSSSAG00000107804.1)". The record is from RNAcentral. Lineage: Eukaryota; Metazoa; Chordata; Actinopteri; Salmoniformes; Salmonidae.
UGUACCAGUAAACAACAAAAAAAAUAUAUAAGGCAGACAGAGAGGAUGAAGAGGACUGGAGGCAUACAGCCAGCAGUUCACCCCACUGUGGGAGGGCUUCAUGUGGAGUGAACACACCCCCAGGUCAAGAGUCACCUUCACUCAACACACUCAUUAGCAGUACUGACACAAGUGCUCCGGUAGGGUCACAUAUGCAUACCAAUCUCAUGGCUGAUGUUUUUCACGUGAUGUAUUUGCAUGGCCUGCUGCACUCUGCUCCACUAACAAUGAAAUGUGUUUGUCAGUCUCGGAGGUGGAGCAGCUGCUUACAAACUGCAGUGCUUUCAUCUUCCAUGGAAUGGAGCUCUUUCUUGCCAACAUCCCAACAUCCAAGCUCGGUGCCCUCAACCUUUAUGGAACUGUAUCCAAUACCGACCUUUUUUUUGUUGGUCUGUUUGUUUGGUAUGAGUUUCAAGAACCUUCUUCAGAGGAUGUUGGAAACAUUUUUUAGUUUGAUUUUCUUCUUUUAGUGUCAGCUUUUUCCCUAAAAUACCGACCAAUUUGAAAUCUAUUUCUCAGAUAACAAGCAUGCCC